UAUUGGCGAAGAUACAAUUGGCGGGAACGAAACCCUUUGUUACGAGAUCAGAAUUUAGUAUACGAAUUUCACAGAAUAAACGAUACUCCCACAUGCUCGCACAUUUGUAAACCAAGCAAGAACUUACAAUUCGUUGUGUUAUCAAAUACCUUUCGAUUUCGUAUAAAUCAUAACCUUCCAUUCAGAACAAAUUUCGUUUCACUUUUCUAUCCGCUGAAGUUAGGACUAAGUGUCCUCAAAAUAAAGAGGGAGAGAGAAGAAGAGAAAAAUUUUAUCCGAACAGCGGUGCCAUAUGAUUGAAUCGACCAAAACAGCAACAGCUGUCGUAAUUUUACGCUCGAAACCUCUUACCGGUAACGACGGUACCAAAAUGACUGGCGUUGUACAAACGUUAAAAAUCUCGUUGUACCAGACCAAUUUACAGAUAACGUGUAUAUACGAUUGAGUAAAAAGCAAAAUUGGAUCGAACAGCGUGUGUUUUUACAAGGGAAAAUUCAAGUAUCGAGUGCGGCUCGCGACGAGGGUAAUUAAUGUCGGAAAAUUAAGCCGAAAGGGAUGGAAUCGGUUCAACGAUCGGAGAACGCGAUCAUUAGAGGUGGUGCACGAGGUGGGUGUAACCGAGAAAAGGGCGCGGUGGUAAUGGCAAGGAGGAAAAUAAAUUCGUGGGGACAGUUGCAACCCUAUGGGUCACACGUUCACAGCCUUCGGAUGUGGGAUAAGUUACAGGCGCAGUGGUAGAAAGUCGGUUUAUACAGAUCACGUACGGCCUGGAAUGGACGGAUAAAGUUUUGGGAUUCACUUUCCAUUCUCAACGAAUGGUAAAUGGGGAAUUCAGAAUGGAUAGAUGGUACUCGUUAAGCGAAAAGAAGUCAGAAAAUUAGUACUUCCAAAUAAAAAUAAUCAAAUACCCAUGCAUCGAACUAGUUCAAGGUCCGUGAGAUUGAAAGGCGAAUCUCUUCCUUCACGGUGUUUUUCCUUGAAACCAACAGGCAGAAGUCCCUUAUUCUACAAGUUGAAAACAAGACCAUUACGAAGGCGAGAUCAUCUUUUUUCAUGAGCCAGCCAAGUUGGAUUCUGAGGAUGUAUUUUGCGACGUUCUUGUUUCACAAGCUUCUCGUCGCAGUUAAAAUAGCGAGAACGUUCUGAGAAAAACGCGGGAAACUUAAGGUGUCUGUGUAGCAGAACAUUUAUUCGCCUUUGUCGUAUUUUCUUUCAUGUCCAAGAAAGAACUGCAGAAAACAUAAUGCCGUCAAAGGAUUGUAUAGAACAGAGGUGUACUGAUAUUUUCGAGUAAACGCUACAAAUGUACUUCAACUUCGUAUAUUAAUGGUAAAGUCGAUUCUUCGGUAGAAAUAGAGAAACAGGUUUGUCUAUUACAAUUUACAUUAAAAGCAAUAUAUAAAAAAUUGACACGGCAUAGUUUUCCGAGAAGAUUUCUUCGGAGGCGUAGUUAUAAUCGUAUUUUUAAUAUUACGCAUAAAUAUUCCGAUCGCGAUCAUUCUCAAACGUUUCCAAGGCAUUUAGCUAAUGCUGUAGUAUUUUUCAGAAGCUUUUAAGCGUUCCCAAAAGUAUCGUUUUUACGAGCGUUUUGAAAAUAGAUGAGUCUGAAUAUUAAUGCAAAGUAUCCUUAAUAUUUCAACAAGUGAGUGCACGAUAAGACCUGUCUGAAAGACAAGACAUUGUGCAAUAAUCUAACAUAAGAGGAAGAAAACAAGACAACUUUUACAAAAAGUGAAAAUUACAGGUCCGAACUCCAGUGUCUGAUCUUCCUAUUUUCUAGACUAUAUGCUUCCGUAUAAUUAUGAAAUGAUGUACUUACAUUAGACCGUUUUUGCUCUUCACUUUUCACGAUUAAGCACACUAUUAUUUGCUAGUAACCACGCCAAGUAGUCCUGUUAUCAUGGAUUUCCAUACCAUAAAUAUUUCAUUAUCCAGAAGUUCAGCCCGAAUACAUUUAAACUUAUACAAAGUGGAGCAUAGUUAAUUCGUAUUCAUUGAAUAUAUCGUUACUAUAACUUUAAUUACAACUUCAAUUUGUUCGGUAUAAUGGAACUGUAAUUAGAAUACGCAGAGGUAUAAAUUAUUCAAGAUUCUUUAGCAUAUCAGUAACGAUAUAAUCAAGGGAUUAAAACGUUCAUAGUGUUCACUCGAAGUACAGGUACUUUACCUAAAUCAAUACUAUAUCUUCCACAAUUGAACAAAUAUCAUUAGGAAGUAGAUUUAGAAUAAUGAUGAAUCAAUUGCAAGAUAAAGGUGGAACUUGUUAACUGAUUGCAUCAUAAAGAAGCCUAAAUUAUUCCACAUUACAAUAUCAUCGAUCUUAAAAUAUUGGAUUAUCCGGAAAGUUCGUCCCGAUUUUUAAGGAAUUUGAUCGACACGAAAGAUCAUAUUGAAAAUUUAUUCGCCGAAAAACCUGAGACGUUCUGGAAGAAUGGAGUAUUCAAGUUGCGUGAUAGAUGGAGAAAGGUUGUAAAACAAAAUGGUGCCUAUAUAAUUUAAUAAAUGUGUAUCGAAUCGAAAUGUAAAUCGGAAAGAAACAUAGUAUAGAGAUGAUAGUGUAUAUCUUUCUUUUAUGAAUGAAACGCGCUUUGAUCUGUACAUCCAAAACUGCCUUCAAUUUCAAAGGUGGUCGGAUUAGCAACACAAUCGAUGUUUCUAUAAGCUACUGCACGCCUCCGUUUAAUUACGUUAAUGAGUAGGAGAUUAUUAUGAUUAUCUUGUAUUUUCUCUAGUGGAAAGCAACGCGCGCGAUCGGUUUGCGAGGUCACAUUUAGCUGUGAGGCAAACUCAUUGUCAGAUAAGCUAACCGACCCUGAGGGAAUGUUCUAAAAUAUAUCGCAGACAUCGACGGUAACGAUGUAAGUUCCUCUUACUUGAGGGCAACUGUUGGUGUGUCGGUAAACGUACACAACCAAAGAAACUAGAUAGUCGUUGGUAUUGCUGGCGAAGCUUUGAAACUCGGCUAAUCUUCGGACUAAGUAUUGUCCUACCGCAGAAAGGGAACGUUUCUUCGGCAAUAAGGUUUUACUGGCAUUAUGUUGCGUUACAAGCAUUCAAUUUCACGGUAUCUUGGAAAUGCGCCUGAUUAAUUGUAAUAGUUCCAGAUUUUAUAUUCUCGUUAAUGAAAAUGUGCUUAUAAUUUUUAUAUAAUUGUUUCAAUGGAGCUUUUUUUCUGGAGACUUUCCAUCUCGUCGAUAGUAUUCUUUUUGAGUUUCGUUAAAUAUUUUUGAUUCGUAUAAAAUUCAGAUUCGGUGAGAUCAGUAGAAAACGGUUAGCGUACAAGGAGCUUGUCUAAAUAUGUUUUGUAAUCAUUAUUGUAUCUCACGAGAUUUUUGCAUGUACGUGAACAGUUAUGUUGCUUUUAUUCUCGCUGAACUUCCUUGCGCGAUUCUUCGAAACUGCUUCAUCACCUUACUUAUUUUUCGAACACAAUUUACAAUCGAUUGAUCUUAGUAACGCAACGAAGUGAAGAAGGAUAAAUUCGAGGAGAACACGUCCUCCGGUAUCGAAAGAAUGGCAAAAAUAAUUUCUGGAGCAAUUAAAAAUGAUUAGGAAGAAUGUAGGAAUGAACGAUGCUUAUGGUGUAUCCCGCGCCUUUCUUCGUAAUCGUUGGGGUAUAAAAAAAAUUGGAGGUCGAAUCACGGUCGCAAUUGUAAUGGUCCUAUGGAAGAAGGUCACAAGGCGAAAGGAAGAACAAAGGGACGCUGCAAAAACGGGAGCCGCUGUCGGACACGGGAAACGAUAAACGGCAAAACAGGCGCAGCGAAACAAUGCGCAGGGCAUAUUUAGCCGUGCCGUUGUACAUUAUUUAGGUGCCAGUACGCGCCAUUUGUAUUCCCGCGCACGCGUGUGCUACGAAAAUUCGCGAUAUUUCCUUCCACCCUGCAUCCCCUCGACCAGAAGAAACCGAUGCCUCGUUUCCAUAUUGCUGCGAUCACGUCCACGUUUUCGGAAAUGAAAAGUUUCCUGAUCGUGGUGGACACCCCUUAAAUUUGCCAUUCGAUCUUCGAUCGCGAGGAAAAUGGCUCGUUUAAUGAAACAAAGGAAAUGUUGCUAAAAUUACGAGCGUUGAAAAUUCAUCUGUGAAGUUCCGUUUUCGAUGAUUUAUAGAGAAAAGUAGAAGAAAGAAUGCGGUGUUUAUUUUCACAUUUGAAUGGGAAGAUUUGAAAUGAAGACUUGUGAAGUUUAAGAGCGUCAUUUUAGAUCUCGAGAAUGUCCCUUGUGCGAAGUGAUUGAAUUUUGACGAUGUAUGAGAUCGUUCAUUCGUGAAGCGUAACAAUAUAUCGCAAAUACGCCUUUACUAGGCCAUUUGCGAGAUAUUUCUUAGCCAUUUUAUGUAACGUAUGAUAUUUGAUAGAAUUUUACGCGAAAACGUUAUGUUUCAAAAAUGUUGUCAUUGUCUGUUGAAUUGUAAAUUAACUAGAAUUUAAAAUUAAUUCAAACUGUCUGAUACAGAACGAGAAGAAGCUACAAAGAGUUAAACUACGUGUCAAAACUAAAUAUGUAAUAGACACGAAUGUCUAGCGAUAUAAAC
Molecule: long non-coding RNA, 4534 nt
Organism: Bombus pyrosoma
Lineage: Eukaryota; Metazoa; Arthropoda; Insecta; Hymenoptera; Apidae
Exons: 5
Source: RefSeq, a predicted model, not a curated record